Sycon ciliatum is the source of this 1783-nucleotide long non-coding RNA. RefSeq lists it as uncharacterized. The transcript has 2 exons. The record is from RefSeq and is a predicted model, not a curated record. NCBI's taxonomy places the organism in Eukaryota, Metazoa, Porifera, Calcarea, Leucosolenida, Sycettidae.
UUUUUUAUUUCAUACAACAAUACAAUCCUUCCAUCCGGUCCUGUCUAAAAACGAUUGCAUCACCAACAUUUGCCCGGAAUCAGCCCGUACAGACAUGGGUAGUGCUACGAGUUCGUAUUGAGGUAAAUUUCCAAGUCGUCCAUUGACAUUGUUCUCGCAUUCGCGAUCUUCCUGUUUAGGUCGAUGCCUCGCAUGUCCAAAAGAAAGAAUUGUAAUUUGUAGAUCACAAAAGAGAUUGCACGAGUUUCAGUGCUAGCUAGCUGUAGAUUGGAUUUUGUGUGUGAAGAAAAAUAAUCAUGUCAGGGACAGUGCAAGUGGUAACAGUGACCGAGGAGGUGAGGCCGCCAGCGAGCUUCACUUGCCGCAUCGUGUUCGCCAUCGUUGGUUCUUUUGUGGGUUAUUCAGUGGCUGUCUGCCUGGGUGUAGCGUUCAAGAACCCAACUACUGGAGCUUUCGCUGGCCUAUCUGGUAUCCUGGCAACCAUAUGUUUGAUACUGCAUUGGAAAGCGUCCAACACGGUGCACGGCCGGCCUCGCAGAUUGGAGCAUCCGGGCCGACUUGUAGUGCUUUCUGUAGUCGGUGCAACGUUUGUUAUUAUCGGAAUCGGUACUUUCAUCACAUUCAUAGCAGUGGCAGCUUACCAGAAGCAAGGGCUCCAUCCCGAUCACGACGGCUAUUACCUGACAUCCAUCUGGUGCGCCAUGACAACCAAGUGGGCUGCUCUGCUUCUUUUCUACUCGCGUCAGUACAAGAGGAUUUUCUUUGCUGGAUAUCGGCCAGAGAACGAGAGUCUCAUCAAUCACUGAGCAAUGGCGAUAGGACUGCAGCACUGCAGUCCAGCAAACUUGUGGUGAGAGCGCUGGCAGGGCAAUGCAGUGAAGUGUCCACCUGGGCAGAUAACGUGUGAAUGUAUGCCGCCCGCCGUCCAGGCUCGCGCUGUUCAGGGAUUAACAGCCGGCCCAUCUCUCUCUCCUGUGAUCUUGUCUCGAUGUCUUGCGUGCCGGCAUGUCACUGGCCUAUAGUGAUGUCCCACUGCCGGCGGCCAAGAGUACUCCCAGAGCGGUAUGGCAUGUUUAUUUAUAACUUAUAAGUACACCGCUCCAAUCCGGACCGGACCACGGUCCCUCCCUGUAUGCAGUAGGACCACAGCCUGGCGUGUGACAUAACUCAUGCGACAAGCUAGUCCCAGCACAAAAAGGACUAUCAUGAAAAGCGCCGGUAAAGCCAUGCUGCUGGUUUCGGCCAAGGCAAAACGGUUUUCUUCGGAUCUGCGAGGAGCUGCAUCAGCUCGUGGCAGCGUGCACGACGAAACCAAUCAAGCUCUUCCCAGCUCCUUUCUUUUCUACUUCAAAUAGUUUACGUACCAGAUCCAGCUAGUCUUCUCUCAAUGCAUUCCUGUUAGAUUUCCCAAGGAUGCUACUUAGCAGUUUUAAAAAUAGUACUAACCAUUCAUGCCGUAGUGUAGUUAGUAUACCUGCUCUACGUACUCUUAGGUUUUUACUCAAACCGUAACAGGUGCUACGAGUUACAUUGUACUCGUGUCAUUAACCUCUUAGUUUUUUACUCGAGCCGUAACAGGUGCUACGAGCUACUCGUGUCAUUAACCUCUUAGUUUUUUACUCGAACCGUAACAGGUGCUACGAGCUACUCGUGUCAUUAACCUCUUAGUUUUUUUUUAAUUAAAUUAACCGCUUCCUGAAGAAUUUGAAUUUUCAUUCUCUCAGUUUGCAUACAGCCAUUUCCGGGUCAAUCUUAUCAGCUGCCCUAUAUGUGGCCCAGUUCA